GAGGCGUUGUCCGGAUUUACUGGGCUAAAGGGUGAGUAGGCGGUUGUAUAUGUCAGAUGUAAAAGGCUAUGGGCUUAACUAUAGUAAGCAUUUGAAACUGUACAACUUGAGUGCAGGAGAGGUAAGUGGAAUUCCUAGUGUAGCGGUGAAAUGCGUAGAUAUUAGGAGGAACACCAGUAGCGAAGGCGGCUUUCUGGACUGUAACUGACACUGAGGCACGAAAGCGUGGGGAGC
Molecule: ribosomal RNA, 234 nt
Filed under: uncultured bacterium
Lineage: Bacteria
Description: partial 16S ribosomal RNA
Rfam family: Bacterial small subunit ribosomal RNA
Source: RNAcentral